GAUGAACGCUGGCGGCGUGCCUAAUACAUGCAAGUCGAGCGAACGGACGAGAAGCUUGCUUCUCUGAUGUUAGCGGCGGGCGGGUGAGUAACACGUGGAUAACCUACCUAUAAGACUGGGAGAACUUCGGGAAACCGGAGCUAAUACCGGAUAAUAUUUUGAACCGCAUGGUUCAAAAGUGAAAGACGGUCUUGCUGUCACUUAUAGAUGGAUCCGCGCUGCAUUAGCUAGUUGGUAAGGUAACGGCUUACCAAGGCAACGAUGCAUAGCCGACCUGAGAGGGUGAUCGGCCACACUGGAACUGAGACACGGUCCAGACUCCUACGGGAGGCAGCAGUAGGGAAUCUUCCGCAAUGGGCGAAAGCCUGACGGAGCAACGCCGCGUGAGUGAUGAAGGUCUUCGGAUCGUAAAACUCUGUUAUUAGGGAAGAACAUAUGUGUAAGUAACUGUGCACAUCUUGACGGUACCUAAUCAGAAAGCCACGGCUAACUACGUG
This 497-nucleotide ribosomal RNA is filed under the name uncultured bacterium. RNAcentral describes it as "partial 16S ribosomal RNA". It matches the Rfam family "Bacterial small subunit ribosomal RNA", at positions 28 to 507 of the family's 1533-position model. The record is from RNAcentral.